UGGGGAAUUUUGGACAAUGGGCGCAAGCCUGAUCCAGCAAUGCCGCGUGUGUGAAGAAGGCCUUCGGGUUGUAAAGCACUUUUGUCCGGAAAGAAAACCUCGUGGUUAAUACCCGUGGGGGAUGACGGUACCGGAAGAAUAAGCACCGGCUAACUACGUGCCAGCAGCCGCGGUAAUACGUAGGGUGCAAGCGUUAAUCGGAAUUACUGGGCGUAAAGCGUGCGCAGGCGGUUCGCUAAGACAGAUGUGAAAUCCCCGGGCUUAACCUGGGAACUGCAUUUGUGACUGGCGGGCUAGAGUAUGGCAGAGGGGGGUAGAAUUCCACGUGUAGCAGUGAAAUGCGUAGAGAUGUGGAGGAAUACCGAUGGCGAAGGCAGCCCCCUGGGCCAAUACUGACGCUCAUGCACGAAAGCGUGGGGAGCAAACAGG
This 429-nucleotide ribosomal RNA is filed under the name bacterium. RNAcentral's name for it is "partial 16S ribosomal RNA". It matches the Rfam family "Bacterial small subunit ribosomal RNA", at positions 355 to 776 of the family's 1533-position model. RNAcentral also lists the same sequence under 6 other names. The record is from RNAcentral.